Molecule: ribosomal RNA, 402 nt
Filed under: Hexagrammos agrammus (spotbelly greenling)
Lineage: Eukaryota; Metazoa; Chordata; Actinopteri; Perciformes; Hexagrammidae
Description: partial 12S rRNA
Source: RNAcentral
CAAAGGCUUGGUCCUGACUUUACUAUCAACUUUAGCCAAACUUACACAUGCAAGUAUCCGCACCCCUGUGAGAAUGCCCUACAGUCCCCCGCCCGGGAACAAGGAGCUGGUAUCAGGCACACCCCAUUAAGCCCAUGACACCUUGCUUAGCCACACCCUCAAGGGAACUCAGCAGUGAUAAACAUUAAGCCAUAAGUGAAAACUUGACUUAGUUAAAGCUAAGAGGGCCGGUAAAACUCGUGCCAGCCACCGCGGUUAUACGAGAGGCCCAAGUUGAUAGACACCGGCGUAAAGAGUGGUUAAGUUAAAACCUCACACUAAAGCCAAACAUCUUCAAGACUGUUAUACGCAACCGAAGACAGGAAGUUCAACCACGAAAGUGGCUUUAUUUGAUCUGAACCC